Molecule: long non-coding RNA, 763 nt
Filed under: Citrus sinensis (sweet orange)
Lineage: Eukaryota; Viridiplantae; Streptophyta; Magnoliopsida; Sapindales; Rutaceae
Description: long non-coding RNA (CSIN_LNC001919)
Source: RNAcentral
UUUGCCAUCAGUAUGGAAUGGAAUUUUCAAUUUUUCGUACAGCAUUAUUAAUUGUUAAUUUUUCUCAAAAUUAAGGUAUGCUGAUUAUUUAAUUAAUUAAUUAAUUAAUUACCGAUUCGGCUUCGUCCAUGAAUUGUAGAAUCUGGAGCUCGAGCCAGGGAUCAUGAUCCUGCAAGAACUUCCAUCCUUCAGUUUUCUCAACGGCCUUGAAACGGCUGGCAGCCAGUUUCAUGCACCUGAGGUAAAGGUCCGGAGCAUCGCACAGCCUGGCCAGUUGAAGCACGUCCACCACAUUGUCAAUCGUCAGCCGUUCACCCAAACCUUUGGUACAUCUCUGCUUCAGCUGUGGCACUGAAUACACGUGUGACAGCGCCAGUAGGUGGAUCCCGUAUUUCUCCAUUUCCUCCUCCGUGCACCUGAACCAGGGGAACACCUCAGUCACUUGAUAUAAACUUAAAAUAUCUAAACCAAUCACACUGCUCCAGCGAAUUCGGAGAAACCAGUUCUAGGUUACUUUAACUAAUUCUAUUUUUCUUCAUGACACGUGCAAAAGGUUGGUUCAAACAAAUUCUAUAAGUUCAAGGAAGGAUAUCCAGAGCCGUCUUUGUAGACCGAAGAGCUGAGAGCCGUCAGAUCAAACCACGUGGAAGUUAAAGAAUGAAAUGGGCGGCAGACAAAUAAUUAACAAAAAAAAAAAAUUACCUGGACGUGUAGAGGAAUCCAACGAACGAUGACACGGCGCCGCAUGGAACGCCGAGAAUCG